RNAcentral lists this long non-coding RNA (410 nucleotides) under Gossypium raimondii (Peruvian cotton). RNAcentral's name for it is "long non-coding RNA (GRAI_LNC006142)". Lineage: Eukaryota; Viridiplantae; Streptophyta; Magnoliopsida; Malvales; Malvaceae. The record is from RNAcentral.
UGGUCGUCGUCGUUCUUUGGAUUAACAUGGGCAAAAUUUAUAUUGACGGGACCUCUUGGGUUUUUGGCAAAUGAAAUGGAGGUGCUACGACGGCUACAGCCCGUGAAUUGUUGCACCAAGGAUCGGAAGUUUUUGGCGUCGGCAUUGAGGAGGGUGACGGGUGUCCUCUUUGAAGCUCUAGAUCGUCUCCUAAUAGACUUUGAUAUACAGGCCUUGGGGGCCAAGUAGUGGUCAACGGCGGCUGCAUAUGAAGUGUUGGAGGUUAAGUUGUUCGUGGUGACGGUGACGGCAGUAGCAUCGGAGAAUCCGAAACAAGCAUCAAUGGUUUGUUCAUACAGUUGCAUCCACUCAGGAGAAGAAGAGGUACACAGAGUUCCAUUCAUGGUUCCAAAGGUGGUGGACAUUUGGUU